CGCACCCGACAGUCGAAACGUAUGCUGUAGGACAUUUCUAAGCAGUUCAUUUACGCUGAGGAGGAAACAUGAUCUGCAUCUUUGUCUUGUUGUGUCUUGCAGGUCUCAGUUUGGGGCUUGAGGUCCAUCAGUCCCACUCUGAUCUCAUCAAAACAACUGGUGAUAAAGUUCACAUUUUCUGCACCCAUGAAAGAACCAACUACAGACAGAUUCUCUGGUACCAACGGAGACCCGCAGACACAGCCAUGAAGCUCAUCGGAUAUUUGUACUUCAAAGAUCCGUCUAUGGAAGACGGAUAUAAAGAGGACUUUGGGAUCUCUGGAGAUCUGGGAGGGGAUACGGCGAAGAACGGAUCCCUGACGAUCCAAACCGUGAAACAGAAUCACACCGCCAUCUACUACUGCGCUGCGAGAGAAGCACAUUGACAGAAAUCCUCUCUGCACCUCAACAAUAACUGUGCUGUGUUUUAUCAUCAGUGGUUUUCAUAGAAAAGUGAUUAAACGUCUUUCAAGCACCUGCUUCUGUGGUUGGACAGAUGGAAGAUUCAACACA
Xiphophorus couchianus (Monterrey platyfish) is the source of this 552-nucleotide non-coding RNA. The record is from the annotation of a RefSeq genome assembly. NCBI's taxonomy places the organism in Eukaryota, Metazoa, Chordata, Actinopteri, Cyprinodontiformes, Poeciliidae.